GGGAAAUCUUACCGGGUCCGGACACACUGAGGAUUGACAGGUGUUUCGUAAAGUAAGGCUGUUUUGUAUUUUUUUUACUAUUAAUUUACUGGGAAUUUUAUGAGAUAGCUUUUUCAUUUACAUUGCAAAUAUGCUAGUCCUUUCAUGAUUGUGUGAUAGGUGGCGCAUGGCCGUUCUUAGUUCGUGGAGUGAUCUGUCUGCUUAAUUGCGUUUCACUUAUGGCGUGACUGUGUUAUUAUGGUUCUUUCGCGACCUAAUUUUUCAUUCAUUUGGAAUUAGACGCGUCCGGUUCUAUGUGCACAUCAUAGCCACGAAGGCAACGA
Molecule: ribosomal RNA, 323 nt
Filed under: Hemisphaerammina sp. A266
Lineage: Eukaryota; Foraminifera; Astrorhizida; Saccamminidae
Description: bacterial SSU rRNA
Rfam family: Eukaryotic small subunit ribosomal RNA
Source: RNAcentral